GCAGGGCACGGCCGGAGGUGGAGCUGGCUGCGCUGGCGGCUCGGGCGCUCCGUGGCUCCGGGCACGGGGAGCGCGCGGCAGAGGGAGCGCAGCGCAGCCGCUGAGAGCCGCCCGCCCGCCCCAGCUGGCCGAGCCCCAGGAGCUGCCGCCGACAGAGAUUAAUGGGAAGGAAAAGCGGGUAAAGAGGGAACCCAGAGGAGUCUGGCACCCAGCAGUGAAGGUUGACCAGCCCGGAUCACUGCACUGGGGACCUGAAGCAAGGAGACUGACUGAUGUGUGCUUAGCACAGCCCGUCUUGUUGCAGUGACCAAGCACUUCUCUGGAGGCCUGUCCCGAGCAGCACACAGGUGACAGCGAGAUAUAUGGGACACACAAGCAAUUAAAGACUAGAAAAGACAGCGUGCUUCAAGUCCUGAGAUUUGCUAAGGAAGAGUUGGAUCAAGCAGCUUGAAGACCAUGGAGGGAGACUGUCUGAGCUGCAUGAAGUACCUGAUGUUUCUUUUCAAUUUCUUUAUAUUUCUGGGUGGAGCAUGCCUGCUAGGAGUUGGGAUCUGGGUCAUCGUGGAUCCAACAGGUUUUCGAGAGAUUGUGGCUGCCAACCCUCUGCUCUUCACAGGAGCAUACAUCAUGCUGGCUAUGGGAGCAAUGCUCUUUCUGCUGGGUUUCCUUGGCUGCUGCGGUGCCAUCCGUGAGAACAAAUGUCUCCUACUUUUUUUCUUCAUGUUUAUUUUGUUAAUCUUCCUGGCGGAGCUUUCAGCUGCAAUCCUGGCUUUUAUCUUCAGAGAAAAUCUGACAAGAGAGUUUUUCACCAAGGAGCUGAAGAAGCAUUACGUGAGGAACAAUGACACAGAUGUCUUCUCCUCCACCUGGAAUUCUGUUAUGAUCACAUUUGCCUGCUGUGGAGUGAAUGGACCAGAAGAUUUUGAAGCUGUCCCUCUUCUUCCGUACUUGCCUUUGGAAGAGAGAACACCGGAGGCUUGUUGCCAGCGAGAGCUCCAGAGCCGGGAAGGGAUGUUUGUUAACAGGGAAGCCUGCCUCAGAGGCAUCGACAAAUUUCAGAACCGACAGGGCUGCUACACUGUGAUCCUGAACUCCUUUGAGACCUACGUGUACCUUGCAGGAGCCCUGGCCAUCGGAGUGCUGGCCAUUGAGUUGUUCGCCAUGAUCUUUGCCAUGUGCCUCUUCCGAGGGAUCCAGUAGGAGGCGCCCCACGGACCACCAUGUUCCCAACAUGCUCGGAAGAAAGAAGGAAAAUCUGAUGAAACACAACCUGAAAACACGCAAAAAAACUUUAUUUUUUUUAACAAAAUGGGGUGGGGGGGAAAAUGGAAAAAAAAAAAAAAAGAAAAGAAAAAAGAGGGUUGUAAUAUAUGAAUGACCAAAAGGAUUGUACUUCAGGGGCUGGAACUUUGAGGUGAUGUGCACUACACUGUACACCGGACCCUUGCCCAGAGCCACCCUCAGCAGCUGUGGAGCAGGAGUCCAGUGCAGCCACUUCUGCUAUGGACAGAUGGAGCCCAUGGGGAGGAGUGGGAGGACGAGCGCAGCUGCCCCUCCUGCCUGUCAGUGCAAAGCCGUGCCUACCAUCCACAGCUCCGUCGUGCUUUAGACAGCAAAGGACCGAAGAACAGCAACCCAGGGGCUGGGUCAGGCAGCAGGUUGGCCGAAGUCUAGGACAGCCCAGGGAAUGGGGCACUGCGCUGGAGCCAAACUCAAACAGAGGGAAGGAAGCGUAACUGUUCUACCUCUGCUUCUGGAGCUGGUGUCAGUGGCUGUUCUGGUAGAGCCACUCACAGGGGAGGAACGACCCCAUGUGCAGAGAUGGCAAUUUGGAUAGAGGUGAGCAAGACAAACAGACAUACUUCUGAAGACUGAGGUAGGAUUGCUGCAGGCUUAUUUCUCUUCGGCUUUCCCAAUUCCAUACUGUUUUCUUUGGUUUUAGCUCACAUUCCCUCUCUCCCCUACUACUUGUCCCUGUACCGUCAAAAGACCCUUUAUUCUACUGUUCUGGUCUUUGCGCAGUUGUUUCCCCUCUCUUACCUUCUCUGGUCCCCCACCGCUCUUUUCUGGAUUAAGACUUAACUCUCUGCAUCUGUGCUGCUGGGAGCACAGCUUGACAUCACCGCAAAGGCCAGGCUGCACGUUUAAAUGAGAAACGGAGAGAGCUGUAGAGAUAUGGGCAAGUCUGAGAGUACCUGUGGAAGUAGGCAACAGGCAGAAGGAAUUGAGCCCAGGGGCAGUUAAUGAACAAACUCCUGUCGUAUGGCAAAGCAUGUAAAUUUGUUGUUUUUGUCCAGUGGUAAUGUGGCCACCCCCUCUGUUGUACAGUAGUUUUUCUCUUUUCAGAGCAGUAGGCAGGAGAAGCAGCUGUAUUUUUGUAUUUGUUUUUAGCAGCUCUGGUGAAUCUGGGGGAUCAGGGGCUCAGACUGGAGUCGCCGCUGGCUGCAGAGCAGAGGGGGCUGUGGCUGCCUGGCUGCAGUGCAGGGAGCACAGCCCAUGCACCUUCAGGGGGAGUAGUGGAGAGCAGCCCCACGUCCCUGCCCCCGGCUAUUUAAUGCUCAAAUGACCGUCGCAAAUGCCUGGGAAAAGGGCUGCGUGUGAAAUAAUGAUGUUGGAAAUCUAUUUUAAAAAAAAAAAACAAACCUGUAAAUGUUCUUUUUAUUAGUGGAGCUAAUUUAUCCCGUAUUCCCUACUGUAAUGCUUUUUUAUAUUGAAAGGAAUUUUUUUUGGUAAUAUAAACCAGAACACAAGGCUGAAGCACUCUCUGCACGGUUUUUGUGUGCAUUUCUUAAAAAAAAAAAAGUAAAAAAUAAAAGAAAGAUAUUGUGACAGUGAA
This is an RNA transcript of Numida meleagris (helmeted guineafowl), 2836 nucleotides long. It is a transcript of the gene named tetraspanin 18, with no coding region annotated. NCBI's taxonomy places the organism in Eukaryota, Metazoa, Chordata, Aves, Galliformes, Numididae. The record is from RefSeq and is a predicted model, not a curated record. The transcript is spliced from 12 exons.